Molecule: ribosomal RNA, 420 nt
Filed under: bacterium
Lineage: Bacteria
Description: partial 16S ribosomal RNA
Rfam family: Bacterial small subunit ribosomal RNA
Source: RNAcentral
UGGGGGAUAUUGCACAAUGGGCGAAAGCCUGAUGCAGCGACGCCGCGUGGGGGAUGAAGGCUUUCGGGUUGUAAACCUCUUUCGCUAUCGAACAAGGCCCGCUUAGGGUGGGUUGAGGGUAGGUGGAGAAGAAGCGCCGGCUAACUACGUGCCAGCAGCCGCGGUAAUACGUAGGGCGCGAGCGUUGUCCGGAAUUAUUGGGCGUAAAGGGCUUGUAGGCGGCUUGUUGCGCCUGCUGUGAAAACGCGGGGCUUAACUUCGCGCGUGAAGUGGGUACGGGCAGGCUUGAGUGUGAUAGGGGUGACUGGAAUUCCAGGUGUAGCGGUGGAAUGCGCAGAUAUCUGGAGGAACACGGAUGGCGAAUGCAGGUCACUGGGCCAUUACUGACGCUGAGGAGCGAAAGCAUGGGUAGCGAACAGG